RNAcentral lists this ribosomal RNA (253 nucleotides) under uncultured bacterium. RNAcentral describes it as "partial 16S ribosomal RNA". It matches the Rfam family "Bacterial small subunit ribosomal RNA", at positions 524 to 776 of the family's 1533-position model. The record is from RNAcentral.
UACGUAGGGUGCAAGCGUUAUCCGGAAUUAUUGGGCGUAAAGAGCUCGUAGGCGGUUUGUCGCGUCUGCUGUGAAAACCCGAGGCUCAACCUCGGGCCUGCAGUGGGUACGGGCAGACUAGAGUGCGGUAGGGGAGAAUGGAAUUCCUGGUGUAGCGGUGGAAUGCGCAGAUAUCAGGAGGAACACCGAUGGCGAAGGCAGGUCUCUGGGCCGUAACUGACGCUGAGGAGCGAAAGCGUGGGGAGCGAACAGG